AACGAACGCUGGCGGCAUGCCUAACACAUGCAAGUCGAACGAGACCUUCGGGUCUAGUGGCGCACGGGUGCGUAACGCGUGGGAACCUGCCCUUAGGUUCGGAAUAACUCCCCGAAAGGGGUGCUAAUACCGGAUAAUGUCUUCGGACCAAAGAUUUAUCGCCUUUGGAUGGGCCCGCGUUGGAUUAGCUAGUUGGUAGGGUAAAAGCCUACCAAGGCGACGAUCCAUAGCUGGUCUGAGAGGAUGAUCAGCCACACUGGGACUGAGACACGGCCCAGACUCCUACGGGAGGCAGCAGUGGGGAAUAUUGGACAAUGGGCGCAAGCCUGAUCCAGCAAUGCCGCGUGAGUGAUGAAGGCCUUAGGGUUGUAAAGCUCUUUUACCCGGGAUGAUAAUGACAGUACCGGGAGAAGAAGCUCCGGCUAACUCCGUG
This 433-nucleotide ribosomal RNA is filed under the name uncultured bacterium. Its description in RNAcentral is "partial 16S ribosomal RNA". It matches the Rfam family "Bacterial small subunit ribosomal RNA", at positions 29 to 507 of the family's 1533-position model. The record is from RNAcentral.